RNAcentral lists this ribosomal RNA (407 nucleotides) under uncultured bacterium. RNAcentral describes it as "partial 16S ribosomal RNA". It matches the Rfam family "Bacterial small subunit ribosomal RNA", at positions 355 to 774 of the family's 1533-position model. RNAcentral also lists the same sequence under 1 other name. The record is from RNAcentral.
UGGGGAAUAUUGCGCAAUGGGCGGAAGCCUGACGCAGCGACGCCGCGUGGGGGAUGACGGCCUUCGGGUUGUAAACCUCUUUCAGCAGGGACGAAGCGAAAGUGACGGUACCUGCAGAAGAAGCACCGGCCAACUACGUGCCAGCAGCCGCGGUAAUACGUAGGGUGCAAGCGUUGUCCGGAAUUAUUGGGCGUAAAGAGCUCGUAGGCGGUUUGUUGCGUCGGCUGUGAAAUCCCGAGGCUCAACCUCGGGUCUGCAGUCGAUACGAGCAAACUAGAGUGUUGCAGGGGAGACUGGAAUUCCUGGUGUAGCGGUGAAAUGCGCAGAUAUCAGGAGGAACACCGGUGGCGAAGGCGGGUCUCUGGGCAACAACUGACGCUGAGGAGCGAAAGCGUGGGGAGCGAACA